Neogale vison (American mink) is the source of this 848-nucleotide long non-coding RNA. RefSeq lists it as uncharacterized. The record is from RefSeq and is a predicted model, not a curated record. NCBI's taxonomy places the organism in Eukaryota, Metazoa, Chordata, Mammalia, Carnivora, Mustelidae. The transcript has 4 exons.
GCAGUCCUCUGCCGGCCAACAGGGGAGAGUUCUGAAGUAACAAGCCUGCUGGUAUACUGAUCGUGGACUUCAAGCCUCUAGAACUGUGCAAAGAGCUGUUGUGUAAGCCACCCCAUCUGUGGUAUCUUGUUAUGACAGCCCGAACAGACGAACACAGACUUCCAGUAACCGAGCCAGGUUGGCAGAAUUUUCUUAGAACACAGGCUAUGUGAUUUGCCUGCAGCCACGUACUCCAAAGCCCGUGUUCUGUAUACUGAGCCACGUUGUCUUCCGCCCCAGUUGGUGCUUUCUAGCCUGAAAAGCCCUGUAGAGAAUCUGGAGAUGAAACUGACAAACCUUGACCGGCAAGAUUGUAGUUCCCACGCCCAGCACGCACGUCGCGAGCCUCACCAACGGCAGCUCUGAGCCAUGCUUGCCAGAGCACCAGAAGCCGCUCAUGUUUACAACGUACCCUCAAGUUGAGUGCAUCUGGGAACAAAGAAGCAGGCUGUUUGGAGCAUUCAAAAGUCCCUUGAGCUUAAAAGACUAAUACCCAGUGAAGUAAGAAGUUUGCAGAGUACCUCCUGAUCUACCCCGAGGAAAGUCUCCGUGCUCCUUUCUUUGGGCAGCCUCCAUUUAGAGAAGCCCUGACAGCUGGCCAGAUUUUCAAACACAGAACAAAGAAGAAAGAAUUGCACAGCGAACAGCUGUCUACUAACCACCGAAAUUCCUUCAUUAACAUCGAACACUGCUUUUCCACAUACCCAUCCGUCUCUCUAUCCCUCUAUCCAUCCUAGCUCAUCAUCAAUGACACCAACCACUGCAAAACUCGACCUGAAGGAAUCCGGCAGGUCUGAGACAGGAAGGCC